CCCAGCUCUCAGGAGGCUGAGGCACAAGAAUUGCUUGAACUGGGAGGUGGAGGUUGCAGUGAGCUGAGAUCUUGCCACUGCACUCCAGGCUGGGCAACAGAGUAAGACUUUCAUAAAUAAAUACAUACAUACAUACAUACAUAAUUGUUCAGUAUAAUCCUAUGUUGUCAUUGUUUUCUUUUUAUUUAUUUAUUUAUUGCUUUUUAGAUGGAGUUUUGCUCUUGUUGCCCAGGCUGGAGAGCAAUGGCAUGAUCUUGGCUCACCGCAACCUCUGCCUCCCGGGUUCAAGCGAUCCUCCUGCCUCAGCCUUCCGAGUAGCUGGGAUUACAGGCAUGCGCCACCAUGCCCGGCUAAUUUUGUAUUUUUAGUAGAGACGGGGUUUCUCCAUGUUGGUCCAGCGCUGGUCUCAAACUCCUGACCUCAGGUGAUCCAGCCACCUCGGCCUCCCAAAGUGCUGGGAUUACAGGCGUGAGCCACCACGCCCAGCCUUGUUGUUUUCUUUUUAAGAGGGUGGGGAGAGGCAGAGGCAAGUGGAAUUGGAACCAGGACCUAAAGUCGGCUCCUUUUGCAGCUUGGCUUCUGGGUGGGGUUGAUGUCUGAGGGUGGGACCCCAGGGAUCCAAGACAGAAGAAAAGCCAGUGUUUCCACUCCCACCUCGCCCUCACCCCAGACAAGCAGUGUGCUCACUCCGCCUUCCACCUUCUGCCAUGGGAUGACCCUCCCCAGACGCUGAUGCCACGUUUUUGGACUUCUCUGCCUCCAGAACUGAUUCCAGGGACCUGGGAUGGUCUGUAUUCUUGGCAGUUCUCAAGAUCUACGAGUCUUAUUUCCUGUUAACUUUUUUCCUUUUGCUUGAUCCUAUCGGGCACAUGGAUCUUCCUAAAGUUUUGAUUCUGUAAUUAGUGCUACCAUAAAAAACUGUACAAUUUUGGAGAGUGUUUUU
Molecule: long non-coding RNA, 943 nt
Filed under: Homo sapiens (human)
Lineage: Eukaryota; Metazoa; Chordata; Mammalia; Primates; Hominidae
Description: HSALNT0105629
Source: RNAcentral